This 406-nucleotide ribosomal RNA is filed under the name uncultured bacterium. RNAcentral describes it as "partial 16S ribosomal RNA". It matches the Rfam family "Bacterial small subunit ribosomal RNA", at positions 30 to 526 of the family's 1533-position model. The record is from RNAcentral.
AUUGAACGCUGGCGGCAGGCCUAACACAUGCAAGUCGAACGAGUGGCGGACGGGUGAGUAAUGUCUGGGAAACUGCCUGAUGGAGGGGGAUAACUACUGGAAACCGUAGCUAAUACCGCAUACCAUCGGAUGUGCCCAGAUGGGCUUAGCUAGUAGGUGGGGUAAAGGCUCACCUAGGCGACGAUCCCUAGCUGGUCUGAGAGGAUGACCAGCAAGACUGCAACUGAGACACGGUCCAGACGCCUAAGGGAGGAAGCAGUGGGGAAUAGUGCACAAUGGGCGCAAGACUGAUGCAGCCAUGCCGCGUGUAUGAAGAAGGCCUUCGGAUUGUAAAGUACUUUCAGCGAGGAGGCGUUACUCGCAGAAGAAGCACCGGCUAACUCCGUGCCAGCAGCCGCGGUAAUAC